ACGUGAGCAACCUGCCCCUGACUCUGGGAUAAGCGCUGGAACGGCGUCUAAUACUGGAUAUGUGACGUGACCGCAUGGUCUGCGUCUGGAAAGAAUUUCGGUUGGGGAUGGGCUCGCGGCCUAUCAGCUUGUUGGUGAGGUAAUGGCUCACCAAGGCGUCGACGGGUAGCCGGCCUGAGAGGGUGACCGGCCACACUGGGACUGAGACACGGCCCAGACUCCUACGGGAGGCAGCAGUGGGGAAUAUUGCACAAUGGGCGCAAGCCUGAUGCAGCAACGCCGCGUGAGGGACGACGGCCUUCGGGUUGUAAACCUCUUUUAGCAGGGAAGAAGCGAAAGUGACGGUACCUGCAGAAAAAGCGCCGGCUAACUACGU
RNAcentral lists this ribosomal RNA (376 nucleotides) under Microbacterium sp. SW2-25. RNAcentral describes it as "bacterial SSU rRNA". It matches the Rfam family "Bacterial small subunit ribosomal RNA", at positions 115 to 506 of the family's 1533-position model. Lineage: Bacteria; Bacillati; Actinomycetota; Actinomycetes; Micrococcales; Microbacteriaceae. The record is from RNAcentral.